RNAcentral lists this ribosomal RNA (388 nucleotides) under Agaricomycetes sp. Its description in RNAcentral is "partial small subunit ribosomal RNA". It matches the Rfam family "Eukaryotic small subunit ribosomal RNA", at positions 582 to 975 of the family's 1831-position model. The record is from RNAcentral. Lineage: Eukaryota; Fungi; Basidiomycota; Agaricomycetes.
AUUCCAGCUCCAAUAGCGUAUAUUAAAGUUGUUGCAGUUAAAAAGCUCGUAGUUGAACUUCAGGCCUGGCCGGGCGGUCUGCCUAACGGUAUGUACUGUCUGGCUGGGUCUUACCUCUUGGUGAGCCGGCAUGCCCUUCACUGGGUGUGUCGGGGAACCAGGACUUUUACCUUGAGAAAAUUAGAGUGUUCAAAGCAGGCUUAUGCCCGAAUACAUUAGCAUGGAAUAAUAAAAUAGGACGUGCGGUUCUAUUUUGUUGGUUUCUAGAGUCGCCGUAAUGAUUAAUAGGGAUAGUUGGGGGCAUUAGUAUUCCGUUGCUAGAGGUGAAAUUCUUGGAUUUACGGAAGACUAACUAUUGCGAAAGCAUUUGCCAAGGAUGUUUUCAUCA